CCUACGGGGUGCAGCAGUGAGGAAUAUUGGUCAAUGGACGAGAGUCUGAACCAGCCAAGUAGCGUGAAGGAUGACUGCCCUAUGGGUUGUAAACUUCUUUUAUAUGGGAAUAAAAUGUUCCACGUGUGGGAUUUUGUAUGUACCAUAUGAAUAAGGAUCGGCUAACUCCGUGCCAGCAGCAGCGGUAAUACGGAGGAUCCGAGCGUUAUCCGGAUUUAUUGGGUUUAAAGGGAGCGUAGGUGGAUUGUUAAGUCAGUUGUGAAAGUUUGCGGCUCAACCGUAAAAUUGCAGUUGAAACUGGCAGUCUUGAGUACAGUAGAGGUGGGCGGAAUUCGUGGUGUAGCGGUGAAAUGCUUAGAUAUCACGAAGAACUCCGAUUGCGAAGGCAGUUCACUGGACUGCAACUGACACUGAGGCUCGAAAGUGUGGGUAUCAAACAGGAUUAGAUACCCGGGUAGUC
RNAcentral lists this ribosomal RNA (460 nucleotides) under uncultured bacterium. RNAcentral describes it as "partial 16S ribosomal RNA". It matches the Rfam family "Bacterial small subunit ribosomal RNA", at positions 338 to 795 of the family's 1533-position model. The record is from RNAcentral.